RNAcentral lists this ribosomal RNA (421 nucleotides) under uncultured Campylobacterales bacterium. RNAcentral describes it as "bacterial SSU rRNA". It matches the Rfam family "Bacterial small subunit ribosomal RNA", at positions 29 to 449 of the family's 1533-position model. The record is from RNAcentral. Lineage: Bacteria; Pseudomonadati; Campylobacterota; Epsilonproteobacteria; Campylobacterales.
AGUGAACGCUGGCGGCGUGCCUAAUACAUGCAAGUCGAACGGACGAAUAAGAGCUUGCUCUUAUAAGUUAGUGGCGCACGGGUGAGUAAUAUAUAGCUAAUCUGCCUCUUAGUAGAGGAUAACAGUCGGAAACGAUUGCUAAUACUCUAUACUUCUGCUUUACAUAAGUAAAGUAGAGAAAGUUUUUCGCUAAGAGAUGAGGCUAUACUGUAUCAGCUAGUUGGUAAGGUAACGGCUUACCAAGGCUAUGACGCAUAACUGGUCUGAGAGGAUGACCAGCCACACUGGAACUGAGACACGGUCCAGACUCCUACGGGAGGCAGCAGUGGGGAAUAUUGCACAAUGGGCGCAAGCCUGAUGCAGCCAUGCCGCGUGUAUGAAGAAGGCCUUCGGGUUGUAAAGUACUUUCAGCGAGGAGGAA